UAUGAGAAAAAUAUAAAGUCUAGCCUGCCCACUGAGUUUUAAAGGGCUGCGGUAAUUUGACCGUGCAAAGGUAGCAUAAUCAGUAGUCUUUUAAUUGAAGGCUGGAAUGAAUGGUUGGAUGAGAGAUUAGCUGUCUCUAAUGUAUAUUAUAAUUUGACUUUUAAGUGAAAAGGCUUAAAUUAUUCAGAGGGACGAUAAGACCCUAUAAAACUUUAUAUUCAUUAGUUUUAUACUUAAAUUUUAAUUUAAAAUUGUAAAAUCAAUAGCAUAUUUUGUUGGGGAGACAUUGAUAUAGACAGUAACUGUCCGAAUAAAAAUAAUAAUUAUAUUUAGAAUAUGAUCCUUCUUUGUGGAUAAAAAGAAUAAGUUACUUUAGGGAUAACAGCGUAAUUUUCUCUGAGAGUUCUUAUCGAAGAGAGUAGUUGCGACCUCGAUGUUGAAUUAAAAUUUCUUUUAGGUGUAGCCGUUUAAGUAGUAGGUCUGUUCGACCUUUAAAAUUUUACAUGAUUUGAGUUCAAACCGGU
This 524-nucleotide ribosomal RNA is filed under the name Palaemon argentinus. RNAcentral describes it as "partial 16S ribosomal RNA". It matches the Rfam family "Bacterial large subunit ribosomal RNA", at positions 1835 to 2620 of the family's 2925-position model. Lineage: Eukaryota; Metazoa; Arthropoda; Malacostraca; Decapoda; Palaemonidae. The record is from RNAcentral.